RNAcentral lists this long non-coding RNA (431 nucleotides) under Gopherus agassizii (Agassiz's desert tortoise). RNAcentral describes it as "lncRNA (ENSGAGG00000020018.1)". The record is from RNAcentral. Lineage: Eukaryota; Metazoa; Chordata; Testudines; Testudinidae.
UCUGCCUGGCUGCGGCCGCCGGUAACAAGGUCUUGCCCCUCCGCGCAGAUUGAGAGCCUACAGCAUGGGAGAUGAGGACUGGGACACCGAGAUCCAGGACCGCGUGGCAUCCUUCCUACCAGACUUCCAGCAGCUGGAUAACUUUUCUGGAAGAGCAAAUAACCCCUCAUUUAGUUGCAAUCAAAGCAGAAAUUCAGCAGAUGCUGGUGUGGAACCUAACAGAAGUCAACUCAUGUGGGGUGACUUUGGUACUGGAAGGAGUUUUGGGAAUAGAGGGCACAAAUUUGAAGAAAGAAGAAACUCUGGAUUUGAGAGAGAAUCUACUGAAGAUGGCCAAGCAAGAGCGCCUUCAAGGAGAGGAGGUAAGGUACAAAGGUGAAGUGACACUGAUAGCAGAUCUGUUUGUUCUAUUUCCAGGGGAGUCUAACAUU